AGAACGAACGCUGGCGGCGUGCUUAACACAUGCAAGUCGAACGGGUCCAUAUUGAGUAGCAAUACUUAAUAUGAAUUAGUGGCGGACGGGUGAGUAACACGUAGGUAACCUACCCUUGAGCGGGGGACAACCCAGGGAAACUUGGGCUAAUACCCCAUAAGACCACGGGGUGUAAAUUCCGUGGUAAAAGUAGCGAUACGCUCAUGGACGGGCCUGCGGCCUAUCAGGUAGUCGGUGAGGUAAAGGCUCACCAAGCCGAAGACGGGUAGCCGGGCUGAGAGGUUGAACGGCCACACUGGAACUGAGACACGGUCCAGACUCCUACGGGAGGCAGCAGUGGGGAAUAUUGCACAAUGGGGGAAACCCUGAUGCAGCGACGCCGCGUGGAGGAUGAAGGUCUUCGGGUUGUAAACUCCUUUUAUUGGGAAAGAUGAUGACGGUACCCAAUGAAUAAGCCACGGCUAACUCUGUGCCAGCAGCCGCGGUAAGACAGAGGUGGCGAGCGUUGUUCGGAAUUACUGGGCUUAAAGGGCGAGUAGGCGGUGGGACAAGUCUGAUGUGGAAUCUUAGGGCUUAACCCUAAAACUGCAUUAGAAACUGUUUUACUUGAGUCAGUGAGGGGAGGGCGGAAUUCCCGGUGUAGCGGUGAAAUGCGUAGAUAUCGGGAGGAAGGCCGGUGGCGAAGGCGGCCCUCUGGCGCUGUACUGACGCUGAGGCGCGAAAGCGUGGGGAGCAAGCAGGGUUAGAUACCCUGGUAGUCCACGCCCUAAACGGUGGGCAUUAGGUGUAGGGCUCGCAAGGGUUCUGUGCCGAAGGGAAACCAUUAAAUGCCCCGCCUGGGGAGUACGGCCGCAAGGUUGAAACUCAAAUGAAUUGACGG
RNAcentral lists this ribosomal RNA (880 nucleotides) under uncultured bacterium. RNAcentral describes it as "bacterial SSU rRNA". It matches the Rfam family "Bacterial small subunit ribosomal RNA", at positions 26 to 916 of the family's 1533-position model. The record is from RNAcentral.